Molecule: ribosomal RNA, 587 nt
Filed under: Escherichia coli
Lineage: Bacteria; Pseudomonadati; Pseudomonadota; Gammaproteobacteria; Enterobacterales; Enterobacteriaceae
Description: partial 23S ribosomal RNA
Rfam family: Bacterial large subunit ribosomal RNA
Source: RNAcentral
CGAAUGCUGACAUAAGUAACGAUAAAGCGGGUGAAAAGCCCGCUCGCCGGAAGACCAAGGGUUCCUGUCCAACGUUAAUCGGGGCAGGGUGAGUCGACCCCUAAGGCGAGGCCGAAAGGCGUAGUCGAUGGGAAACAGGUUAAUAUUCCUGUACUUGGUGUUACUGCGAAGGGGGGACGGAGAAGGCUAUGUUGGCCGGGCGACGGUUGUCCCGGUUUAAGCGUGUAGGCUGGUUUUCCAGGCAAAUCCGGAAAAUCAAGGCUGAGGCGUGAUGACGAGGCACUACGGUGCUGAAGCAACAAAUGCCCUGCUUCCAGGAAAAGCCUCUAAGCAUCAGGUAACAUCAAAUCGUACCCCAAACCGACACAGGUGGUCAGGUAGAGAAUACCAAGGCGCUUGAGAGAACUCGGGUGAAGGAACUAGGCAAAAUGGUGCCGUAACUUCGGGAGAAGGCACGCUGAUAUGUAGGUGAAGCGACUUGCUCGUGGAGCUGAAAUCAGUCGAAGAUACCAGCUGGCUGCAACUGUUUAUUAAAAACACAGCACUGUGCAAACACGAAAGUGGACGUAUACGGUGUGACGCCUGCC